Molecule: unclassified non-coding RNA, 321 nt
Filed under: Hevea brasiliensis (rubber tree)
Lineage: Eukaryota; Viridiplantae; Streptophyta; Magnoliopsida; Malpighiales; Euphorbiaceae
Source: RNAcentral
AGUUUCUUUGGCUACUGCUGCAGUUGCAAUAUCAGGGUAUUGAAUUAGUGCCUGUGUUCCACCAUUUUUCUCAAAUAUGGCUAUCUUCUGGACGGUACCAAAUGCAGAAAACACCGUGUGAAGAACAUCAACUGUUACAGCAUACUGCAUAUUCUCUACUGAUGCAAGAAGUACAUUACUCUCUGGUUCUUUCUUCUUUCCAUCAGGACCUACAGCAGGCUGUACAGGUCCCUCAAUUGCAGUAGGAUUCACAGGAAGAUAUGGAUUUGUAUAGUCCCUGCUCCUGUGAGAUUGAAACUUGAUAUUAAGAUCAGUAUGUGC